UACGGAGGGUGCAAGCGUUGUCCGGAUUUAUUGGGUUUAAAGGGUGCGUAGGCGGCUAUUUAAGUCAGCGGUGAAAGACAUCGGCUCAACCGAUGCAGUGCCAUUGAUACUGGAUAGCUUGAGUGUUGGAGGGGUACAUGGAAUUAAUGGUGUAGCGGUGAAAUGCAUAGAUACCAUCAGGAACACCGAUAGCGAAGGCAUUGUACUGGCCAACAACUGACGCUGAGGCACGAAAGCAUGGGGAGCGAACAGG
This 253-nucleotide ribosomal RNA is filed under the name uncultured bacterium. RNAcentral's name for it is "partial 16S ribosomal RNA". It matches the Rfam family "Bacterial small subunit ribosomal RNA", at positions 524 to 776 of the family's 1533-position model. The record is from RNAcentral.